CCGCCGGUAGCGUAGUGGUUAUCGCUCCAGACUGGUAUUCUGGAGGUCGUGGGUUCGAAUCCCACUCUGCGGG
This 73-nucleotide transfer RNA is filed under the name Haemaphysalis longicornis (longhorned tick). It matches the Rfam family "tRNA". From Rfam's summary of the family: Transfer RNA (tRNA) molecules are approximately 80 nucleotides in length. Their secondary structure includes four short double-helical elements and three loops (D, anti-codon, and T loops). The record is from Rfam by way of RNAcentral. Lineage: Eukaryota; Metazoa; Arthropoda; Arachnida; Ixodida; Ixodidae.